Molecule: transfer RNA, 72 nt
Filed under: Sphaeropleales sp. YC001
Lineage: Eukaryota; Viridiplantae; Chlorophyta; Chlorophyceae; Sphaeropleales
Description: tRNA-Val
Rfam family: tRNA
About the family: Transfer RNA (tRNA) molecules are approximately 80 nucleotides in length.
Source: RNAcentral
GGGUACAUAGCUCAAUGGUAGAGCAUCUGUCUUACAAACAGAGGGUUAUAGGUUCAAGUCCUUUUGUGCUCA